Molecule: ribosomal RNA, 764 nt
Filed under: uncultured Streptococcus sp.
Lineage: Bacteria; Bacillati; Bacillota; Bacilli; Lactobacillales; Streptococcaceae
Description: bacterial SSU rRNA
Rfam family: Bacterial small subunit ribosomal RNA
Source: RNAcentral
GACGAACGCUGGCGGCGUGCCUAAUACAUGCAAGUAGAACGCUGAAGGAGGAGCUUACUCUUCUGGAUGAGUUGCGAACGGGUGAGUAACGCGUAGGUAACCUGCCUGGUAGCGGGGGAUAACUAUUGGAAACGAUAGCUAAUACCGCAUAAGAGUAGAUGUUGCAUGACAUUUGCUUAAAAGGUGCAAUUGCAUCACUACCAGAUGGACCUGCGUUGUAUUAGCUAGUUGGUGGGGUAACGGCUCACCAAGGCGACGAUACAUAGCCGACCUGAGAGGGUGAUCGGCCACACUGGGACUGAGACACGGCCCAGACUCCUACGGGAGGCAGCAGUAGGGAAUCUUCGGCAAUGGACGGAAGUCUGACCGAGCAACGCCGCGUGAGUGAAGAAGGUUUUCGGAUCGUAAAGCUCUGUUGUAAGAGAAGAACGAGUGUGAGAGUGGAAAGUUCACACUGUGACGGUAUCUUACCAGAAAGGGACGGCUAACUACGUGCCAGCAGCCGCGGUAAUACGUAGGUCCCGAGCGUUGUCCGGAUUUAUUGGGCGUAAAGCGAGCGCAGGCGGUUAGAUAAGUCUGAAGUUAAAGGCUGUGGCUUAACCAUAGUACGCUUUGGAAACUGUUUAACUUGAGUGCAAGAGGGGGAGAGUGGAAUUCCAUGUGUAGCGGUGAUAUGCGUAGAUAUAUGGAGGAACACCGGUGGCGAAAGCGGCUCUCUGGCUUGUAACUGACGCUGAGGCUCGAAAGCGUGGGGAGCAAACAGG